UUUUUUUUUUUUUUUUCCAGUAAGGAACUAAGGGAGUACUCCCUUACUUUCCCAUGACCUGGUGUCAUGAUCUUUGAUGUUCUGCCCACUUUUACUGAUUUGCCUUUAAAAUAUAGUGCAAUUUCAUAUGCCAAGACAUCUUGUUUAUUCUUUCUAAAAUCCUUUAGAAAGGGAUUUCUAAAGUCUUUCCUUGAACUACUUACUCUGUAAACAUAUGGAUACUGCUCCUUUUCCUUUGUCUUUUUAGUUUUAAUUUGCAGAGUUCAUUUUUUAAAUCAGCUUAUGUUAGUUUUCUUCUUUCUAUUCCCAUUGCUACUACCUACUCACCUUGGGUUACCAAGUGGGUUUUUGGCUGACCCCUCAUCCUCUAGACCUAAAUUCAUAUGCCAAUUGCAUCCCACACCACAACCAGGCAAAUUACUUUAAUCCAAGAGCACCAGUUUUCUUUAGCUUUUCCUCUGCUCCACAUCUCUAAACGGUUCUCACUGACUCUCGGAUCCAUUCCACAGUUUUCCUGUCAUUCCAGAUCUGCUGAAUUACUUUGCUCUUCUUCUUGUCAAACUUUACCUUCUAUUGGUUUCUGAGGAAGCCUUUUCAGGCAGGCCAUGCUAGACUCCUCACUGCCUAGGACGAUCCUUUCCAACAGCUGACCUGCCACAAAUACCCAUCUUUCUCAAUCGUUGUAGCUCUAUUAUCUUUCUCCCUUCAAUUCUUUGGGCUUCAUUCAUCCCUCUCUUCUCUCUGCUUCCGUGGCAUAAGCAGCUUAGUCUCUACUUUGGUAUGCAUAAUACCAAUCCUACUUGUUAUGGUUAUGUAUAUUAACUGCUUAAUAUGGUAGAUGACUCACCACCCAAAUUAAAAAAUAUCUGGUUUUCCAAUUUUAUUAAGACAACAGACUGCUCUGCAUACGUAAUCAAAAGUCAUCAAUAAAUAUAGAAAUGAAUUCACUGUGUGCCCUUCUCAGGAUAUGCAUUUCUAGGAAUACAGAGCAGGUAGAAAGAGUGGCUGGUGGUAUGGAAUGUGGGUAAUAAAUUGUAUUAACCAUGUGCUUGCACAGGCUUCCUUUCAAGUCCCAAAUACAUGAGGUGAGGCCUUAUCCUGGCUAACACGGUGAAACCCCGUCUCUACUGAAAAAUUAGCUGGGCGUGGUGGCUGCGCCUGUAGUCCCAGCUACUCGGUAGGCUGAGGCAGGAGAAUGGCGCGAACCCGGGAGGCGGAGCUUGCAGUGAGCGGAGAUGGCGCCACUGCACUCCAGCCUGGGAGAGAGAGCGAGAUUCAGUCUCGAAAAAAAAAAAAAAAAAAAAAAAA
This 1308-nucleotide long non-coding RNA is filed under the name Homo sapiens (human). Its description in RNAcentral is "novel transcript, sense intronic to NLGN1". Lineage: Eukaryota; Metazoa; Chordata; Mammalia; Primates; Hominidae. The record is from RNAcentral.